Molecule: ribosomal RNA, 860 nt
Filed under: Mycobacterium sp.
Lineage: Bacteria; Bacillati; Actinomycetota; Actinomycetes; Mycobacteriales; Mycobacteriaceae
Description: bacterial SSU rRNA
Rfam family: Bacterial small subunit ribosomal RNA
Source: RNAcentral
GAUCUGCCCUGCACUUUGGGAUAAGCCUGGGAAACUGGGUCUAAUACCGAAUACACCCUUCUGGCUGCAUGGUCUGGGAGGGGAAAGCUUUUGCGGUGUGGGAUGGGCCCGCGGCCUAUCAGCUUGUUGGUGAGGUUACGGCUCACCAAGGCGACGACGGGUAGCCGGCCUGAGAGGGUGACCGGCCACACUGGGACUGAGAUACGGCCCAGACUCCUACGGGAGGCAGCAGUGGGGAAUAUUGCACAAUGGGCGCAAGCCUGAUGCAGCGACGCCGCGUGAGGGAUGACGGCCUUCGGGUUGUAAACCUCUUUCGCCAGGGACGAAGCGCAAGUGACGGUACCUGGAGAAGAAGGACCGGCCAACUACGUGCCAGCAGCCGCGGUAAUACGUAGGGUCCGAGCGUUGUCCGGAAUUACUGGGCGUAAAGAGCUCGUAGGUGGUUUGUCGCGUUGUUCGUGAAAACUCACAGCUCAACUGUGGGCGUGCGGGCGAUACGGGCAGACUGGAGUACUGCAGGGGAGACUGGAAUUCCUGGUGUAGCGGUGGAAUGCGCAGAUAUCAGGAGGAACACCGGUGGCGAAGGCGGGUCUCUGGGCAGUAACUGACGCUGAGGAGCGAAAGCGUGGGGAGCGAACAGGAUUAGAUACCCUGGUAGUCCACGCCGUAAACGGUGGGUACUAGGUGUGGGUUUCCUUCCUUGGGAUCCGUGCCGUAGCUAACGCAUUAAGUACCCCGCCUGGGGAGUACGGCCGCAAGGCUAAAACUCAAAGAAAUUGACGGGGGCCCGCACAAGCGGCGGAGCAUGUGGAUUAAUUCGAUGCAACGCGAAGAACCUUACCUGGGUUUGACAUGCACAG